GGUGGCAGCAGUUCAACAUCCUGGACAGCAUGCGCUGCUUCCAGCAGGCGCACUACGACAUCCGGAGGAACGACGACAUCAUCAGCUUCUUCAACGACUUCAGCGACCACCUGGCCGAGGAGGCCCUGUGGGAGCUCUCCCUGAAGAUCAAGCCCAGGAACAUAACGAGGAGGAAGACAGAGCGGGAAGAGAAGACCUAGGGGCGGUGCCCGAGCGAGAACGCUCAGGGGAGGCCGCGAGAGCGGCC
Phyllostomus discolor (pale spear-nosed bat) is the source of this 247-nucleotide long non-coding RNA. RefSeq lists it as uncharacterized. The record is from RefSeq and is a predicted model, not a curated record. The transcript has 3 exons. Lineage: Eukaryota; Metazoa; Chordata; Mammalia; Chiroptera; Phyllostomidae.